This 459-nucleotide ribosomal RNA is filed under the name uncultured bacterium. Its description in RNAcentral is "bacterial SSU rRNA". It matches the Rfam family "Bacterial small subunit ribosomal RNA", at positions 28 to 507 of the family's 1533-position model. The record is from RNAcentral.
GAUGAACGCUGGCGGUAUGCCUAACACAUGCAAGUCGUACGAGAGUUUUUAACUCUAGUGGCGGACGGGUGAGUAACACGUGAGAAUUUGCCUUUAGGAGGGGGAUAACAAUUGGAAACGAAUGCUAAUACCCCAUAUGCUUUUGAGUGAAACGGAUUUAUCCGCCUAGAGAGAAGCUCGCGGCUGAUUAGCUUGUUGGUAAGGUAAGAGCUUACCAAGGCGACGAUGGAUAGCCGGCCUGAGAGGACGAUCAGCCACACUGGGACUGAGACACGGCCCAGACUCCUACGGGAGGCAGCAGUGGGGAAUUUUGGACAAUGGGGGCAACCCUGAUCCAGCAAUGCCGCGUGAGUGAAGAAGGCCUCGGUUGUAAGCUCUUUUGUUCAGGGAAGAAACAGCAGCUCUAACACAGACUGCGAAUGACGGUACCUGAAGAAUAAGACACCGGCUAACUACGUG